UAGGGAAUCUUCCGCAAUGGGCGAAAGCCUGACGGAGCAACGCCGCGUGAGUGAUGAAGGGUUUCGGCUCGUAAAACUCUGUUAUUAGGGAAGAACAAAUGUGUAAGUAACUGUGCACAUCUUGACGGUACCUAAUCAGAAAGCCACGGCUAACUACGUGCCAGCAGCCGCGGUAAUACGUAGGUGGCAAGCGUUAUCCGGAAUUAUUGGGCGUAAAGCGCGCGUAGGCGGUUUCUUAAGUCUGAUGUGAAAGCCCACGGCUCAACCGUGGAGGGUCAUUGGAAACUGGGAAACUUGAGUGCAGAAGAGGAAAGUGGAAUUCCAUGUGAAGCGGUGAAAUGCGCAGAGAUAUGGAGGAACACCAGUGGCGAAGGCGACUUUCUGGUCUGUAACUGACGCUGAUGUGCGAAAGCGUGGGGAUCAAACAGG
This 429-nucleotide ribosomal RNA is filed under the name Actinomycetes bacterium. RNAcentral's name for it is "Actinobacteria bacterium partial 16S ribosomal RNA". It matches the Rfam family "Bacterial small subunit ribosomal RNA", at positions 355 to 776 of the family's 1533-position model. The record is from RNAcentral. Lineage: Bacteria; Bacillati; Actinomycetota; Actinomycetes.